AGUGAACGCUGGCGGUAGGCCUAACACAUGCAAGUCGAACGGCAGCACAGUAAGAGCUUGCUCUUACGGGUGGCGAGUGGCGGACGGGUGAGGAAUACAUCGGAAUCUACUUUUUCGUGGGGGAUAACGUAGGGAAACUUACGCUAAUACCGCAUACGACCUACGGGUGAAAGCAGGGGAUCUUCGGACCUUGCGCGAUUGAAUGAGCCGAUGUCGGAUUAGCUAGUUGGCGGGGUAAAGGCCCACCAAGGCGACGAUCCGUAGCUGGUCUGAGAGGAUGAUCAGCCACACUGGAACUGAGACACGGUCCAGACUCCUACGGGAGGCAGCAGUGGGAAAUAUUGGACAAUGGGCGCAAGCCUGAUCCAGCCAUACCGCGUGGGUGAAGAAGGCCUUCGGGUUGUAAAGCCCUUUUGUUGGGAAAGAAAAGCAGCAGGUUAAUACCCCGCUGUUCUGACGGUACCCAAAGAAUAAGCACCGGCGAACUUCGU
RNAcentral lists this ribosomal RNA (491 nucleotides) under uncultured bacterium. RNAcentral describes it as "partial 16S ribosomal RNA". It matches the Rfam family "Bacterial small subunit ribosomal RNA", at positions 29 to 506 of the family's 1533-position model. The record is from RNAcentral.